AGAACAGAUAUUGGAAUUUCCACUUUCUGUUUUAAAUUGAAAACUAUUUUUUUGUAAUCGAUAUGUCGUUUGUAAAAAAAAAAUCGCUUCCUAAAUGACUUAAAUAAGCUCCUUAAAUGGAUUUGAAGUUUGAUAUAGAGGAGAUAAAGUCAUGUACACUGCGCAUUGAAGAAAGGGUCAAUGAGCUUUCAACGCAGUCGCCGAAAUGUCAAAGUUGCUGCAAAGUAAUUCAACUUCGAACAGCCAUACAAAAUAUUGGUUCACGUCUUGACAACCUUGCGAGUACAUCAGAGGCAGAUGUCAAUCCAUACGAACAUAGAUUCAAAAAGAUACAAGAGCAGAUAACAGAACUCAAGGAGCGGAUUCUUGUAUGUCAACCUGACCAGGACAGAUUAGACGAUGUACUAGCGGCGCAUAGGGCUUCGACAAAACGAGGAACAAGAUUUGUGGAAACCGAUAGUGCGAAUACUUCAACACACGACGGAUCAUCUAGAUUAUCGACAAGCGAAUCAUCGUUGCCUUGUACGACUAAGGCAUCUACCGACGAUAAAGCAACCUCGAACAUUCCAAAUGGUGUGAACAGUUCGCAAAGUGAAACUACAGACACCAUCGAGGCACGUGAUCCACACCGGUCUGACAGUCAAAUGGCUACAAUGCGGACGCGAAGGGUCACUUUUUUAGAGCCUCUUGCAAGUCAUACUGUAAGACAGACUACCAACAAUUUUCUGAGGAUGGACAUCUGGAAGGCAUUGGCACAAAGACAUCUUGAUGCUGCACUUCAGUCAACUGGAGAUCUUGAGUGUGUUGUGUCAGUGCUGUUACUGGACAUAUCAGAGAGCAUGGCGACAGGAGAGGCGUGGAAACAAACCAAAACAUUUGUCAAAGACUUUCUUAAAGGGUUAAAAGAAGUUAAAUCGAUUGGCGAUGAGCAUUUGAAAGACGAAUAUGUUUCUGUUGCAACGUAUGGACACGAAACUAAGUUACAGAUGCCAUUGACAUCCAACUAUGAUUCAGUUCAAGAAUUUGUUGAUCGUUUGACGCUGGGUGGUCCAAGUCCACUGUAUGGGGGACUAUGGAUGGGGCUAGCCGGAGCGAUGUCAUGUAAAAAGGGGCGGUUCAAGAAUAACGGAAUAAUAAUUCAUCCGAAAAUCAUCGUACUUUCCGACUGCCGACCGACGGAGACUCUGCUGAUUGAAGGUCCCGAUGAUCCAGACAUGGAAAAGACUGACGAGACGUUAGUCAACGUUAUGUCAGCCUUGGAUCAUCUAGAUCGAAGGGGAAUAUCUGUGUUCGUUGUGCCGGUUGGAGACUAUGACCAGGAAUUUGUGAACAUAAUAAAGCCUGCUGGUCGGAGAUUGUACAAACACACGGAAGGACGCAGACUCGCACGACGCAAUUACAUUUCUGCUAAAACAGAUUUGAUCGGGUUCAGGUCGCUGUUCACAGACACGUUCUCGCUUGAAGAUAUGGAGGACAUGCAUGAGAUUCGUAUGGAAUCUUGGCUUGGACUUUCACUUGACCAAGCAGACAGGAGCACUGUGUACAAAGAAAGUACCAGCAAAAUGUUUCCCCCGAUUGGUUCCCGCGUCCGGAGAGGCCCGGACUGGCACUGGAAAGACCAAGAUCACGGCGGGCCGGGCACCGUUGUGGGACAUGCAGAGGAUUAAUCCAGAGUGUGGGUUACAUGGGACGCAGAUGGUGACACCAACGUGUACCACUACGGAGAUGGUAGUUAUGACGUGUUGGUUACCGACGAACCUCGAACAUUGAAACCAGGAGAGAAAAUCGGUGUCGGUUGUUUAGUUAAACCAGGAAAAGACGGCAAGUCUCAGACGAUCCAUGAUUCGAACAAUGGUGUUGUUAUACGCGUAGAACCACCAAAGGCUCAUGUCCGAUGGGACAGCGGCUCUCGUGGUGACUACAGGUACGGAGAGGAUGGACUAUUUGAAAUAGAACUGUGUCCACAACAACCAGAAUGCAAAUCAAGUAGCUCGGAUUCGGUUUCAACCCAGAUGGCUGCAACAUCGAGACCUAAAC
Molecule: RNA transcript, 2037 nt
Organism: Dreissena polymorpha
Lineage: Eukaryota; Metazoa; Mollusca; Bivalvia; Myida; Dreissenidae
Exons: 18
Source: RefSeq, a predicted model, not a curated record